RNAcentral lists this unclassified non-coding RNA (265 nucleotides) under Hevea brasiliensis (rubber tree). The record is from RNAcentral. Lineage: Eukaryota; Viridiplantae; Streptophyta; Magnoliopsida; Malpighiales; Euphorbiaceae.
GCCAAAGAAGCUAAUAAAUCUCAUCGUGACAGGAUUCAAGGUUUCAACCAGUAUUUGGCGAACAUGAGCGAGCAUUAUGACAUUCCUAAAGUUGGCCCAGGCUAAAAUUCUAAAAGAUCCACCAUCUGCUGCUCAAUGGAUGAAGUUAAGCUUUCAUAUAUAAGCUUCUCUAGCAAAUUAAGGAAAAGCAAGGACACUUCUCAUUCAAAUUCUCCUCGGUUGUAUUUGAAAUUUCGUAGUUAUAUGCUGUGUGGCAUAUUUCUUA